CUUGAAUCCCCAGCAAUUGAAGCUUGCAGAAAGCUAUUGGUGAGGAAAGAGUUUGUUACCGUAAAUAGCAUGCCUCCCUUUUACUUAUUCCAUGCUUGUGUUCUUGCUGCUCCUAAGGUCCAUAGAACAUAAGAUAUUGACAAAUUCAGCAUGGUAUUGGACCCUAGCCCCUUUGUUCUGUGAGAAACCUCAGAUCACCAUUAUUAAUAGAUGCUGUCUCUCUGUCUGUCUGUCUGUCACUUGAUAGUCUACAUGCCACUCAUCAGGAUUUCUCUGUGUCCAGGUUGUUGGAUCAAAGUGCAUAGUGGAAUGUCACCCUUUGAGCAGAGUCUGUCUGCAGAAGGUGCCAGUCCAUCCACACUGCAGCAGCACAUGCUGUGCUGUGCUGUGCUGAGACACCCUUAGCAUGGACAAUGUGAGGAUCCUCCAGACCUCCUAGGGUCUUCUAAUGCAUCAAGUGACUUACACUAUUGGGGAUACCCCCACAAACACUGAGAGUAGAGAGGCCAUUCAGAGUGAGAAGUACUGCAUACGCAGCGACAGUGGCAAAACUUUUACUAGCACAUCCCACCUCAAUCGACACCGGAACAUACACACUGGAGAAAAGCCUUUUCAGUGCAGGGAGUGUGGGAUGUCCUUCAGCCAAAAAGCCUUUCUUAUUAAGCAUUUCAGAAUUCACACCGCAGAGAAGCCAUUCAGGUACAGUGAGUGUUGCAAAACCUUCAAGCACAACUGCUACCUUGUUGCUCAUCAGUGAGUUCACACAGGAGUGACACUGUUACAUGGACUAAAUGUGGCAAGUCAUACAUGAACAGAUCCAGCCUUUUAUAUCAUUAUUGGGUUCAUACUGGAGAAAAUCCAUAGAAGUAUACUAUAGUAGUUUGAAUAGGUUUGGCCCUAUAGAUUCAUGUGUUUGAAUGCUUGGCCCAUAGGGAGUGACACUAUUAGGUGAUGUGGCCUUCUUAGAAUAGGUGUGGCAUUCUUGCAGAAAGUGUGUCACUGUGGGGAUGGGCUCUGAGGUUCAGUGCUCAAGCUCCACCCAGUGUGGGAGAGUCUCUUCCUGCCUGCCUUUAGAUCAGGAUAUAAAACCUCUGCUCCACAGCACCGUGUCUGCCUGCAUGCAGCCAUGGUUCCUGCCAAGAUGGUAAUGGAUUGACCUUCUGAAAAUGUAAGCCAGACCCAAUUAAAUGUUUUCCUUUAUAAGAGUUACCUUUUCAAAGUUUUCAAAGUUCCUUUCAAAGCAAUAAAAACACUAACUAAGACAUGAUAUCAAAUGCAUAAAUAAUAUAAGGAAAAUUCCAGCCAUGUUUAUCAUGUCCAAGCUCAUAUAAGGGAAAGGAAAUUUAAAAAUCAUGAAUCUUGAAAGUGUUAAAAAACGAAACUCAUCUCAUCAAUGACCAACAAACUUCAUAGUAGAGGAAAGGAUUUUAUGUGUAGUGUGUGGGGGAUGCAGCCUCAUGUAACAUCAGGGAUUUUAUGCAGCAAAGCAUCAUGAGUGCACAGAAUGUGGCAAAGUGUUUUGCUGCAGGACUGGCACCACACUAAAUAGAGUAUAUGUAUUGAGUGCAAUGAACAUGGGAAAUUGUUUCCAUGAUCUACCCUAUCUACACAAAAGGAUAUUCACUGGACAAAAGUCAAGAGUGCUUCAGAUGUGUAAGGCGUUCACCCACACUUGCAUCAUAUUUAACUGAAGAAGCCACAGUGCAGACAUGCAUCAUGAACCCACUGAAUCUGGGGAAGACUUUGAACAAAGUUUGUUCUUACUAGCAACACAGACACAACCCAGAUAGGUUUGUGAAUGCAAACGUAGAGAAAGCUUCAGCCAUUGACCAAGCUUGUUGAGCCUUAGGAGUGAAUGUGAGUCUGAGCAAAGAAGUUCUGAGAGUAGCUUUUGUGAGGAAGCAAGUCAUUGAAAAUUACUCAUCAAAGAAGAACAUGGAUCAAGAUGAGGAUUAGUGCCAUCUUAUUCCUAAGAAGUUAAUGCUUUCUGGGGAUUUAGCAAGAGGAAGCUGUGUUGUUGGCUGCACUGCACCAGUAUUGAGUGGAGUCUUCAUGUUGCUGACUUUGAAUGGGGGAGGAAGAGAGUGACCUCAGUUUAAAUAAGACAUAUAUAUUUAUUGUUGUUUGUUCUAUUGGUUGCCAUUUUUCCCUCACUGAAUAUUGCAGUCCAUGGGAUAAAUGAUCAUUUACUAUAAAGUCUUCAUAACUAUUGUGUCACUACUUUUGUUGGGGACCAGCUCUGUGUAGCACCCUGUAUCUAUGUUUCCUUUUUUGUUUAUAUACAGUCUUACCAUGUUGGUUUGUCUCA
RNAcentral lists this long non-coding RNA (2308 nucleotides) under Mus musculus (house mouse). RNAcentral's name for it is "predicted gene 3912". Lineage: Eukaryota; Metazoa; Chordata; Mammalia; Rodentia; Muridae. The record is from RNAcentral.